AGUGAACGCUGGCGGUAGGCCUAAUACAUGCAAGUCGAACGACAGCACAGUAAGAGUUUGCUCUUACGGGUGGCGAGUGGCGGACGGGUGAGGAAUAGAUCGGCUUCUUCUUUUUCGUGGGGGAUAACGGAGGGAAACUUACGCUAAUACCGCAUAUGUUCUACGGGUGAAUGCAGGAGUUAUUCGCACCUUGCGUGACUGAUUGAGCUGAUGUCGGAUUAGCUAGUUGGCGGGGUAAAGGCACACCAAGGCAACGAUCCGUAGCCGGUCUGAGAGGAUGAUCGGCCACACUGGAACUGAGACACGGUCCAGACUCCUACGGGAGGCAGCAGUGGGGAAUAUUCGACAAUGGGCGCAAGCCUGAUCCAGCAAUACCGCGUGGGUGAAGAAGGCCUUCGGGUUGUAAAGCUCUGUUGUUGGGAAAGAAAAACAGCAGAUUAAAACACCGCUGUUCUGACGGUACCCAAAGAAUAAGCACCGGCUAACUUCGUG
Molecule: ribosomal RNA, 492 nt
Filed under: uncultured bacterium
Lineage: Bacteria
Description: partial 16S ribosomal RNA
Rfam family: Bacterial small subunit ribosomal RNA
Source: RNAcentral